GCCGGCUUAGCUCAAUUGGUAGAGCAACUGACUUGUAAUCAGUAGGUUGUCAGUUCAAGUCCGACAGCCGGCAC
RNAcentral lists this transfer RNA (74 nucleotides) under Wolbachia pipientis. RNAcentral describes it as "tRNA-Thr(tgt)". It matches the Rfam family "tRNA". From Rfam's summary of the family: Transfer RNA (tRNA) molecules are approximately 80 nucleotides in length. RNAcentral also lists the same sequence under 8 other names. Lineage: Bacteria; Pseudomonadati; Pseudomonadota; Alphaproteobacteria; Rickettsiales; Anaplasmataceae. The record is from RNAcentral.